GGGUUGCAGAGUCGCUCAGUGCUCUUGCCGGUCUCCUGCAACAGACGGACUGCACAGACGAAGCGCGGAAGAAAGCUGGGGAGUAAAAAAGCUCCCAACAAGACAAGCCUGGCAAUGUGAGAAGAAGCUCAACAUGAGAGCGACGCUCGGAGUGACCCGCUGCGCUGCUGCUGCCUCCCUCGCUUCUGACCUUCCAAGACUGGAGAGGAGAGGGGAUGAACUGGAACAAAACCGAGCCGCUCCAAGCAUGGCUCUCCAGAAGAGAGAGCCGCUCCAAGCAUGGCUCUCCAGAAUAGACAGCAGCAGACAGGAGACCUCCAGCAAAUGAAGGAGCCCCAACAAGAGCAUUGCAGCCCCCUAAUCUCACUGCUGCAACAACGAGAUGAGAGAAUGAGCAGCUCCACACAGAGCUAGAACAAACAGAGGAGCAAGGAGAGAAACAGAGCUUCACAACCUCCAAAAGAACAGAGAGCAAACGCAGAGCUUCAACCUCCAAAAGAACAGAGAGAGAGAGAGCAAAUGGAGCUUCAACCUCCAAAAGAGCAAACCCA
Long non-coding RNA from Acipenser ruthenus (sterlet), 551 nucleotides. RefSeq lists it as uncharacterized. NCBI's taxonomy places the organism in Eukaryota, Metazoa, Chordata, Actinopteri, Acipenseriformes, Acipenseridae. The transcript has 2 exons. The record is from RefSeq and is a predicted model, not a curated record.